This 439-nucleotide ribosomal RNA is filed under the name uncultured bacterium. Its description in RNAcentral is "partial 16S ribosomal RNA". It matches the Rfam family "Bacterial small subunit ribosomal RNA", at positions 338 to 794 of the family's 1533-position model. The record is from RNAcentral.
CCUACGGGAGGCAGCAGUGGGGAAUAUUGCACAAUGGGGGAAACCCUGAUGCAGCGACGCCGCGUGAGGGAAGAAGUAUUUCGGUACGUAAACCUCUAUCAGCAGGGAAGAAAAUGACGGUACCUGACUAAGAAGCCCCGGCUCACUACGUGCCAGCAGCCGCGGUAAUACGUAGGGGGCAAGCGUUAACCGGAUUUACUGGGUGUAAAGGGAGCGUAGACGGCUGGGCAAGUCUGGAGUGAAAUCCCAUGGCUUAACCAGGGAACUGCUUUGGAAACGGUGCAGCUGGAGUGCAGGAGAGGUAAGCGGAAUUCCUGGUGUAGCGGUGAAACGCGUAGAUAUUAGGAGGAACACCAGUGGCGAAGGCGGCUUACUGGACUGUAACUGACGUUGAGGCUCGAAAGCGUGGGGAGCAAACAGGAUUAGAUACCCUGGUAUC